CUGAGACCUGAUGCCGAGCCGAUUGUGGUGAAGUGGAUGAUCCUAUGCUGUCGAGAAAAGCCUCUAGCGAGUUUCAUGGCGGCCCGUACCCCAAACCGACUCAGGUGGUCAGGUAGAGAAUACCGAGGCGUUCGGGUGAACUGUGGUUAAGGAACUCGGCAAAAUGCCCCCGUAACUUCGGGAGAAGGGGGGCCAUUGCUGGUGAUGGGACUUGCUCCUUGAGCUGGUGGUGGCCGCAGAGACCAGCGAGAAGCGACUGUUUACUAAAAACACAGGUCCGUGCGAAGCCGUAAGGCGAUGUAUACGGACUGACGCCUGCCCGGUGCUGGAACGUUAAGGGGACCGGUUAGUCCGACUUCGGUCGGGCGAAGCUGAGAACUUAAGCGCCAGUAAACGGCGGUGGUAACUAUAACCAUCCUAAGGUAGCGAAAUUCCUUGUCGGGUAAGUUCCGACCUGCACGAAUGGCGUAACGACUUCUCGACUGUCUCAACCACAGGCCCGGUGAAAUUGCAUUACGAGUAAAGAUGCUCGUUUCGCGCAGCAGGACGGAAAGACCCCGGGACCUUUACUAUAGCUUGAUAUUGGUGUUCGGUUCGGCUUGUGUAGGAUAGGUGGGAGACUUUGAAGCAGCAACGCCAGUUGUUGUGGAGUCGCCGUUGAAAUACCACUCUGGUCGUGCUGGAUGUCUAACCUGGGUCCGUGAUCCGGAUCAGGGACAGUGUCUGGUGGGUAGUUUAACUGGGGCGGUUGCCUCCUAAAGGGUAACGGAGGCGCCCAAAGGUUCCCUCAGCCUGGUUGGCAAUCAGGUGUUGAGUGUAAGUGCACAAGGGAGCUUGACUGUGAGACUGACGGGUCGAGCAGGUACGAAAGUAGGGACUAGUGAUCCGGCGGUGGCUUGUGGAAGCGCCGUCGCUCAACGGAUAAAAGGUACCCCGGGGAUAACAGGCUGAUCUUCCCCAAGAGUCCAUAUCGACGGGAUGGUUUGGCACCUCGAUGUCGGCUCGUCGCAUCCUGGGGCUGGAGUAGGUCCCAAGGGUUGGGCUGUUCGCCCAUUAAAGCGGUACGCGAGCUGGGUUUAGAACGUCGUGAGACAGUUCGGUCCCUAUCCGCUGUGCGCGUAGGAGUGUUGAGAAGGGCUGUCCCUAGUACGAGAGGACCGGGACGGACGAACCUCUGGUGUGCCAGUUGUCCUGCCAAGGGCAUGGCUGGUUGGCUACGUUCGGGAGGGAUAACCGCUGAAAGCAUCUAAGCGGGAAGCCUGCUUCGAGAUGAGCACUCCCACCUCCUUGAGAGGGUAAGGCUCCCAGUAGACGACUGGGUUGAUAGGCCGGAUAUGGAAGCCCUGUGAGGGGUGGAGUUGACCGGUACUAAUAGGCCGAGGGCUUGUCCU
This 1391-nucleotide ribosomal RNA is filed under the name Streptomyces sp. NRRL F-6133. Its description in RNAcentral is "bacterial LSU rRNA". It matches the Rfam family "Bacterial large subunit ribosomal RNA", at positions 1556 to 2925 of the family's 2925-position model. The record is from RNAcentral. Lineage: Bacteria; Bacillati; Actinomycetota; Actinomycetes; Kitasatosporales; Streptomycetaceae.